UAGGUCAGUGAAUAACCGAUGAUAGUUAUGUGGGUCAUCAUCGAGUCGACCUGUUAGCAGGAACAGCUGGUUAGCACAGCAGCUAAUUGGAUGAG
Etheostoma cragini (Arkansas darter) is the source of this 95-nucleotide long non-coding RNA. RefSeq lists it as uncharacterized. The transcript has 3 exons. Lineage: Eukaryota; Metazoa; Chordata; Actinopteri; Perciformes; Percidae. The record is from RefSeq and is a predicted model, not a curated record.